RNAcentral lists this ribosomal RNA (405 nucleotides) under uncultured Eubacteriales bacterium. RNAcentral describes it as "uncultured Clostridiales bacterium partial 16S ribosomal RNA". It matches the Rfam family "Bacterial small subunit ribosomal RNA", at positions 355 to 774 of the family's 1533-position model. The record is from RNAcentral. Lineage: Bacteria; Bacillati; Bacillota; Clostridia; Eubacteriales.
UGGGGAAUAUUGCACAAUGGGCGCAAGCCUGAUGCAGCAACGCCGCGUGAAGGAAGAAGGGUUUCGGCUCGUAAACUUCUUUAGGCAGGGACGAAAAAAAUGACGGUACCUGCAGAAUAAGCCCCGGCUAACUACGUGCCAGCAGCCGCGGUAAUACGUAGGGGGCAAGCGUUAUCCGGAAUGACUGGGUGUAAAGGGUGAGUAGGCGGUCCUGCAAGUCAUAUGUGAAAUCCCCAAGCUUAACUUGGGGACUGCAUAAGAAACUGUGGGACUAGAGUACAGGAGAGGUAAGCGGAAUUCCUAGUGUAGCGGUGAAAUGCGUAGAUAUUAGGAAGAACACCAGUGGCGAAGGCGGCUUACUGGACUGAAACUGACGCUGAGUCACGAAAGCGUGGGGAGCGAACA